This is a non-coding RNA of Schistosoma rodhaini, 45 nucleotides long. NCBI's taxonomy places the organism in Eukaryota, Metazoa, Platyhelminthes, Trematoda, Strigeidida, Schistosomatidae. The record is from Rfam.
AUGCAACUAAACGGUCCCAAAUAGGACGAAACGUGCGUCCUGGAU